AAAAAUCCGUGGCGCCGAGCGGGACUCGGCCUGCCCCGCCCCAGCCCUAUAAGGGGAGACCACUACUGUGAACUAAGGGUCAAACUCCAGGACCUGGCAUGGGCUAGUUUUCCUGCUUUUCAUUACAACCCGUUACAUGGGGUCGGGAGUAGAAUUUGCCACUUGUCAUGUA
Molecule: long non-coding RNA, 172 nt
Organism: Arvicola amphibius (Eurasian water vole)
Lineage: Eukaryota; Metazoa; Chordata; Mammalia; Rodentia; Cricetidae
Exons: 3
Source: RefSeq, a predicted model, not a curated record